Long non-coding RNA from Quercus robur (English oak), 603 nucleotides. RefSeq lists it as uncharacterized. The transcript is spliced from 3 exons. The record is from RefSeq and is a predicted model, not a curated record. NCBI's taxonomy places the organism in Eukaryota, Viridiplantae, Streptophyta, Magnoliopsida, Fagales, Fagaceae.
UUUUUGUGAGGACUCUUCUUGUCUAGAUGAUUACUGGCUGAAAGUGCACCACAUUGCGUUGUGGAUAUCUUUGCAUUUAUAAUUCGACAUUCACUACCAAAACCAAAUUGAAUUUAGUUGGAUUAAUCAAAUUUGUGGACGCAACUUCACAUAUCAUAAAUGAGUUGCUUCUCUUUGCCCUCAAUUCUUUUUUCAGUGAUGACUAGAAUGAGAAUCUGGUCCAUUUUUUUAUUGUCCUAUGACCCAGGUAACUCUGCGUUAAAGAUUGAAACAAGUGAUGACUAGAAUGAGAAUCUGGUCCAUUUUUUGAGUGUCCUAUGACCCAGGUAACUCUGCGUUAAAGAUUGAAACAAGCUGGCUUUCCGUUUGCUAAAGUUGUGGGUAUUCAAGAGUUUAUGACAGAAGGGUGACUCCCUCACUAUUUCUCAGGCUUUGGGUGAGCAUUCCCCAGUUAUCUAUGGUAUGCUGGCUACUAUUCAUGACUUUCAGAUAUCCUAUGUUUGCAAACAAGUUAAUAGACUUGCUCAUUUGUUAGCAAAAUAUGCAUUAGACAUUAAUGAUUUUUCUUUAUGGAUUAAAGAGAGUCCUUGUUUCUUAGAGCAA